CAGCAGCCACGGUAAUACGUAGGGUGCGAGCGUUAAUCGGAAUUACUGGGCGUAAAGCGUGCGCAGGCGGUUCGUUAAGACAGAUGUGAAAUCCCCGGGCUCAACCUGGGACCUGCAUUUGUGACUGUAUAGCUAGAGUACGGUAGAGGGGGAUGGAAUUCCGCGUGUAGCAGUGAAAUGCGUAGAUAUGCGGAGGAACACCGAUGGCGAAGGCAAUCCCCUGGACCUGUACUGACGCUCAUGCACGAAAGCGUGGGGAGCAAACAGGAUUAGAUACCCCAGUAGUCCCUGUCUCUUAUAC
RNAcentral lists this ribosomal RNA (301 nucleotides) under uncultured bacterium. RNAcentral's name for it is "partial 16S ribosomal RNA". It matches the Rfam family "Bacterial small subunit ribosomal RNA", at positions 509 to 807 of the family's 1533-position model. The record is from RNAcentral.